GCUGGAGUCUGCAGGAGUUGCCACCUUCGUCUUCCCCCAACUGGUCCUCGAGGAUGGCACGUCGAUCAAGGUUCAUGAGGGAAUGGGCGCAAGCCUGAACCAGCCAUCCCGCGUGCAGGAAGACGGCCCUAUGGGUUGUAAACUGCUUUUCCAGGGGGAGAAUUUUUCUGUCGUGACAGGAAUUGACGGUACCCUGGGAAUAAGCAUCGGCUAACUCCGUGCCAGCAGCCGCGGUAAUACGGAGGAUGCGAGCGUUAUCCGGAUUUAUUGGGUUUAAAGGGUGCGUAGGCGGUUAGAUAAGUCAGUGGUGAAAACCUGCAGCUUAACUGUAGACUUGCCGUUGAUACUGUCAGUCUUGAGUAUGGUCAAGGUAGGCGGAAUGUGUAAUGUAGCGGUGAAAUGCUUAGAUAUUACACAGAACACCGAUUGCGAAGGCAGCUUGCUGGGCCAUUACUGACGCUGAUGCACGAAAGCGUGGGGAUCGAACA
Molecule: ribosomal RNA, 488 nt
Filed under: uncultured prokaryote
Description: bacterial SSU rRNA
Rfam family: Bacterial small subunit ribosomal RNA
Source: RNAcentral